RNAcentral lists this ribosomal RNA (558 nucleotides) under uncultured Sulfurovum sp. Its description in RNAcentral is "bacterial SSU rRNA". It matches the Rfam family "Bacterial small subunit ribosomal RNA", at positions 505 to 1061 of the family's 1533-position model. Lineage: Bacteria; Pseudomonadati; Campylobacterota; Epsilonproteobacteria; Campylobacterales; Sulfurovaceae. The record is from RNAcentral.
GUGCCAGCCGCCGCGGUAAUACGGAGGGUGCAAGCGUUACUCGGAAUCACUGGGCGUAAAGCGCGCGCAGGCGGCCUUUUAAGUUGGAUGUGAAAGCCUAUGGCUCAACCAUAGAACUGCAUCCAAAACUAUUAGGCUAGAGUGUGGGAGAGGAAGAUGGAAUUAGUUGUGUAGGGGUAAAAUCCGUAGAGAUAACUAGGAAUACCAAAAGCGAAGGCAAUCUUCUGGAACAUUACUGACGCUGAGGCGCGAAAGCGUGGGGAGCAAACAGGAUUAGAUACCCUGGUAGUCCACGCCCUAAACGAUGAAUGUUAGUUGUCGGGUAGCUAGUCUAUUCGGUGAUGCAGCUAACGCAUUAAACAUUCCGCCUGGGGAGUACGGUCGCAAGAUUAAAACUCAAAGGAAUAGACGGGGACCCGCACAAGUGGUGGAGCAUGUGGUUUAAUUCGAAGAUACGCGAAGAACCUUACCUAGCCUUGACAUAUAUUAGAACUCANCAGAGAUGCAGAGGUGCCUUCGGGAGCUUUUAUACAGGUGCUGCACGGCUGUCGUCAGCUC